Molecule: ribosomal RNA, 253 nt
Filed under: uncultured bacterium
Lineage: Bacteria
Description: partial 16S ribosomal RNA
Rfam family: Bacterial small subunit ribosomal RNA
Source: RNAcentral
UACGGAGGGGGCUAGCGUUGUUCGGAAUUACUGGGCGUAAAGCGCACGUAGGCGGCUUUGUAAGUUAGAGGUGAAAGCCCGGGGCUCAACUCCGGAAUUGCCUUUAAGACUGCAUCGCUUGAAUCAUGGAGAGGUGAGUGGAAUUCCGAGUGUAGAGGUGAAAUUCGUAGAUAUUCGGAAGAACACCAGUGGCGAAGGCGACUCACUGGACAGGUAUUGACGCUGAGGUACGAAAGCGUGGGGAGCAAACAGG